UACGGAGGAUCCAAGCGUUAUCCGGAUUUAUUGGGUUUAAAGGGUGCGUAGGCGGCUUUUUAAGUCAGGGGUGAAAGACGGUAGCUUAACUAUCGCAGUGCCUUUGAUACUGAAGAGCUUGAAUGAACUAGAGGUAGGCGGAAUGUGACAAGUAGCGGUGAAAUGCAUAGAUAUGUCACAGAACACCGAUUGCGAAGGCAGCUUACUAUGGUUUUAUUGACACUGAGGCACGAAAGCGUGGGGAUCAAACAGG
This 253-nucleotide ribosomal RNA is filed under the name uncultured bacterium. RNAcentral's name for it is "partial 16S ribosomal RNA". It matches the Rfam family "Bacterial small subunit ribosomal RNA", at positions 524 to 776 of the family's 1533-position model. The record is from RNAcentral.